This is a non-coding RNA of Paramuricea clavata, 1840 nucleotides long. The record is from the annotation of a GenBank genome assembly. NCBI's taxonomy places the organism in Eukaryota, Metazoa, Cnidaria, Anthozoa, Malacalcyonacea, Plexauridae.
GUAAGAACCAUAACAUGCUGUUGGAUAUUUUUCGGCAGCUUUCCCACGCAGUACGUCACAAAGCCCUUGGCCAUGCUUUUGGCUUGAGAGUCAAGGUCAUGCUUUUAGCGCAGGGCAAGCUGUUUUAUGUGAAGGAAUUUUUAAUUACUGAUUACAGUAAGGCUUUUUAUAAUGCUAUACUAUACUAUACUAUACUGUACUGUACUGUACUGUACUGUACUGUACUGUACAGUCACGAAUAAACUGUGGUACUAGCCCGAGUAUACCCCCUCCCCGAUAUAAGCCCUUCCGUGUAAAAGCCCACGGGCUUAUUAUUCGACAGGUAUUUAUUAACGCAGCGAUGGCGAUUCCAACAGCUCAGACAAGUACAAUAAUUACAUUAGAGUAUUAUAAUAUGUUAACCAACUUUUUUAUGUACAGAUUAUGUAUACUGUAUGUUUAUAUUUCUUUUCGUUCACGGUAGUUUAUAUUACAGGUAUACAAUAAAUAUUAUUACUAAGAUCAAACGCCGUCCGUAUAUAAGCCCGCCCCCCAUGUAUAAGCCCAUCAAAAAAUGCUUGCUAAUGAAUAUAAGCCAUUCUUCGGAGGUUUAGGUAUAUAGGAACAAACUCAUAUUAAAAUGUAUGCACUAAGCCUAUAAGAGGACAGAACGAUGGUCGAUGCUAGCUAGCUGUUGAUUCAGAAAUCGAAGUGUAACAACUUUUAAAAAAUUCAAAUUAAUUAAUACAACUUAAAGAUAUUCUAAUUUAAAUGACUAUAUUCUUACAUUUUAACUAAUUGCAAGUAACUAUGUAUAUACAUACAUCUAUUUACAUUAUUAAACCGUAGUGUUUUGAGUAUACUAAACAAACACAUAUCACAGAUAUUAUAUUUACAUAGCAGGUAAUAAUAUUCGGCUACAAUUAUUAAAAAUGUCCACGGCCUAGCAAGGCUCGAACCGACGGAGUACCAAAAUUAUGGAAAAUCUUCAACUGCAUAUAGUUCAAAUGUUCCGAUAGCGAAAAAAAAAACGAUGCCAUGGUAUAUGGGUCAAUGAAUGAUGUUGCCGAAAAAAUCCUACAACCGACCGAAGGAUUUCUAUGUCCAGUUUUAACACAGUUUCAUUUUGAAACCGAUGUGUUUUCAUCAAAUAAAUAUAUAGCAUUGUUAUUCGGAGUCCAUAUAUAAACCAAUUCUUUAUGCCAGACUAUAACCGUAUUUUCUCACCGCCAAAUUUCACGUUUACUGGUACGUAAUCAAAAUGGGAAGAUGGCGUGAUGGGACUGAGACCCAAUGAUAUCGCUAACAUAAAGUAUCCACUAACCUCACCGUCACGUGGCCAAUUGCUCGAGAGGCUCUUCCUUGUCCAAAGGGUGGUAUUCACCCGUGUUCGAUAAUUGGCCCAUGUGAAUGUAAUCUGCUGUGGUUUGGUCUUCGUCUCCAGCCAACUAUUUAAAAAAAACAACGUAUUGUUAAAAAAGGUUUUUGGAACUAUUUCUCGCUAUCUUUAAAGGAACCGGUCAUUAUUUAUGGGGGGUGGGGGGUGGGGGGUGGCACCGAAGAGAAAUGGUUGUCGUGCCAAAAAUUUUGCAGACCCAAAUAAAAAAAUUGAUUACCCAACCUCAAGUAUCAUUUAAAAAAUAAAUACCAACCCCUGGCCAAAAACGUUACAAAAGGAUGUCAUUCAGUUGUCACACAUGUCCUUUACCACUUCUGUGAUACGAAUUUGAUAACGUUCGGCUUCUAAAGUUUCAUGUUGUCUGCACAUCUACUUUCUUUGGAGACACCAUUAAUUUGUCUCCCAACAAAUCGGAAAAUGAUCAAGAUAGUGACUCUGAUCAUAGACAAUCCAGAAGACAUG